Molecule: ribosomal RNA, 492 nt
Filed under: uncultured bacterium
Lineage: Bacteria
Description: partial 16S ribosomal RNA
Rfam family: Bacterial small subunit ribosomal RNA
Source: RNAcentral
AUUGAACGCUGGCGGCAUGCUUUACACAUGCAAGUCGAACGGUAACAGGCCUUCGGGUGCUGACGAGUGGCGAACGGGUGAGUAAUGCAUCGGAACGUACCCAGAGGUGGGGGAUAACGCAGCGAAAGCUGUGCUAAUACUGCAUGUGAUCUGAGGAUGAAAGCGGGGGACCGAGCAGCAAUGUUUGGCCUCGCGCCUUUGGAGCGGCCGAUGUCGGAUUAGCUAGUUGGUGGGGUAAAGGCCUACCAAGGCGACGAUCCGUAGCUGGUCUGAGAGGACGACCAGCCACACUAGGACUGAGACACGGCCCAGACUCCUACGGGAGGCAGCAGUGGGGAAUUUUGGACAAUGGGCGCAAGCCUGAUCCAGCAAUGCCGCGUGCGGGAAGAAGGCCUUCGGGUUGUAAACCGCUUUUGGCAGGAACGAAACGGUGUCCGCUAAUACCGGGCGCUAAUGACGGUACCUGCAGAAUAAGCACCGGCUAACUACGUG